GCUGGAUCAGCAGCAGCUGACAGAGCCACUGGAUCCAUGAGCAAGGAUAUGUAGCCAGUCACUGGGAUCACAACUUUUGACAAAACGUCAUCCUGCUUCCAAGGAAAAUGUCUGAGUUUGAGGACGUGGAUGCAGACUGACUGCAGGACUGCACCUCACCAGAUGAGGAAACUAAGAUAAAGAUCAGGAGAGCUGUCCAAAUCACACAGACAUUUACCCUGGGGCUGGAAAACUCCAAACACUUUUAACCUUGGUCCUACACACGAGGGAUGCAGCAGAGGGCAGGAUGCCAUUUUAAAGUCAGUCAUGCCCAAGGUCUUGCAACUUGUCCAGAAUAUUAAGCUUCUGAGAUGUGGAGCAUGGAAGUGACAGCACAAAUGCAUCUCUGAUUCAUCACUGAAUUGUUUGAUACACCAAGUAGCUUCAAUCAACAGAAACAAGUGAGGUUCAUAAAAUGUUCCUUUGUAGUUUUGUUUCUGCAGUAUUGGAUUAGCCAGAUAAGGCUACGGGAGGGCAGCCAACAGUGAUACUUGGAGAGCAGCAUGGAUGCCUCUUAAAGCAUUUGGAUGGUUGGCUCCAAGCAAGCAUCGUGCAGCAGCGAGUCUGAUCCAUCAUGAGUUUAGCCAUGUUGGCAGCCAGGACAGCAACAGAUGAGGAAAAUGCAAGCACAAGCAUUUUCUGCUCAGCAAAGGACCAGGACACCAGAAUGAGUCCUCAGCACUGAUUCUUGCAAGGAAAACCACCUGCUUUUGUUGU
Melospiza melodia melodia is the source of this 756-nucleotide long non-coding RNA. RefSeq lists it as uncharacterized. The record is from RefSeq and is a predicted model, not a curated record. NCBI's taxonomy places the organism in Eukaryota, Metazoa, Chordata, Aves, Passeriformes, Passerellidae. The transcript is spliced from 5 exons.